This is a long non-coding RNA of Candoia aspera, 1567 nucleotides long. RefSeq lists it as uncharacterized. The record is from RefSeq and is a predicted model, not a curated record. The transcript is spliced from 2 exons. NCBI's taxonomy places the organism in Eukaryota, Metazoa, Chordata, Lepidosauria, Squamata, Candoiidae.
UGACGCUUCAGUUGGAGUACAGGAACUACACAACAUAUUUGCUGUAUUGGUUAGAAUAUACCACAGUAUCUGUACCAGCAACCAAGACCAUGCUUUCAGAAAUUGGAAAACUAUUCCAGCUCCUCUUUUCUGCCACAUUAAUAGCAAGAAAUGAAGCCAAAGAAAUUCUUCCUGUCAGUAUCUUCCAAACAUGUUUUGACUAUCAGCAUUCCCAAGAUAACCUUUUUAGAGAAUAUGCUUCUGUUUCUUUCUCCCACUAGUUUCAUUUUCAUAUUACCACAGAUGGAGUUUUGUCCAUAACUGAAAGUACCUUUCUCCCAGAGAGCACUGCAGAAAGAUGCAGUGGAGACAGUACCACAAGGCAAACCAAGAUGGUUUCUUUGAAAGAUGUUUCACAAUCCUAAGUAGGGCUGGUUGAGUAAUCCCAUUUAAGAUCCAUUAACCACUGUAUUCAUGCUAAUAGAUUAACAUAUGUUUGCAAUUUCUGAUGUAUUUUCUCUGAAAAAUGUUUCUCAGCAAAUUUCUGGUACGGUUCAUUUCUUUUUCAUGUAUCAUUUAGGUCUGAAACAUUUUAGAGCAUUGAAUACAUCGCAGAAUAAGUUAGUAUUGACUAAAUAUAAUUUUAAUAACAGUUUUAGUAUGUAUGCUGCCUUCAGAAACAUGAAAUUUCUGCCCAUAAGGAAUAUACGUAGUAGAGCCCUUGGAAAUAACAAGUGUCUUUACAUAUGAAAGUGAGGCCCUCUUGUGACCAUUUAGGUAAGAGCACACAUUUCACUGCAGUUGAUGUUCUUUGGUUGUGUUUAAAUACUUUUAAUGCAGCUGAAAUUUUAUAGAAUGUCCAUGUGCCCAAAGAAACAAAGAUGAUAUUAGAAAUUAAGAAAUGCUACUGUUCUCAUUUUCUUCAGUUCUACAGUGAAGCACAUUGAUAUGUCAUCCCUUAAGAUUAAUUUUAAAAAAAGAAUAUUUGGGAGAACAGAAAUUUACAGCCUUCUGAUGAGACAUUACAUGUUUGAUUUUCCUUAAUCAUGGUUCUAAAGGCUAGGGAAUGCGUUCUGCUAAGGGGUCACACUCUGCUCAUCCCAUAGGGUUUGUUCUACAGCAAGGUUUGGUUCAAUCCCGGGUAGAAUAUAUUUUUUUUAAAUCCCUGAUUUUAUCAUAAAUGAGCUUGGAGGUCCAAGUUUAAAUCUUGAUUCAUAAAGUUGAAUUUCUGAGUUUCUCAUUAACUGUUUACUCAAGCAAAGAUUUCAUUUUCACUGAAAUUGAAUGUACAUUGCAGAAAUAAUAGCUCUUUGUAAGAUGAAAAUGCCAAAAUUUGAAGAAAUAUUUGAGGUUGUAUGUAUGUAUUAUCUUUACACUUUUGUUAUUUGUUUAAUAUUUCUUGGAACAUGAAUGGAUUUUAUAGGCAAUACUGACCCCACCAAGAGGAUGCAAAAUGUUAAGUUUCAGAUGAAUAAGUCUGAAAUGUGGGUAUAAAAGUAGCCUUUACAAUUUAGGGAUUUCCAAAAAAGUUUUGAAUUAUUCCCAUAUUUUGUUCACAGCCGUUUUAAAAUGAUACUUGGCAAAGAAA